RNAcentral lists this long non-coding RNA (274 nucleotides) under Gossypium raimondii (Peruvian cotton). RNAcentral describes it as "long non-coding RNA (GRAI_LNC007145)". The record is from RNAcentral. Lineage: Eukaryota; Viridiplantae; Streptophyta; Magnoliopsida; Malvales; Malvaceae.
GUAAUACCAAUUUCUCUGCCCGGGCCCGUAAAACAUUAAGGCCCAAAAUUAACCUGACCCAAUUACCCAUUUACAAACCUAAAACCCAAUUGAUUAACCCAAAACCAAGCCUGCUAGCCCAAAACACCAGAAGGUUAGCAGAAACCCUAGGCGUUACAGCAGACUCGUGCCGCAGCUUUAGCCCCAGCGCCACACCACCCCCCCGCAGGUGCCGCACAUCCCGCACGUCGCGCUUGUCACUCCGCUCGCGUCGCGCGCACUCAACGGCCACCGA